GAUGAGUUCAUUUUCAGAGAGUGCGC
This 26-nucleotide non-coding RNA is filed under the name Drosophila melanogaster (fruit fly). The record is from RNAcentral. Lineage: Eukaryota; Metazoa; Arthropoda; Insecta; Diptera; Drosophilidae.